AUAUCUGAAAUGAUUUUAUUUGACUUAUUCAAAGCAUGUUUAUGUUUAGAAGAAGAAAACUCAAUUUGAUAUUUGGAACCCUAAGUUAGCCGUCACCCCUUUCUCUAUUCUCAUUCUCUCUUCUCUCUUCUCCUUCUUUCGCAACGAGGAAGAGAUCAUGGUUAAAGAAGAGGAUGUGUCUGAUUUACAGACAAAGAGCAAUGAAUAAGUUAAUCCAGAGAAAUAAAUGAAAAACAAGAAAGAUGUUGCUUCAGAGAAACAUACGAUCUUCAAUCGGUACCAGAUCUUCAAAGAUUUAGAGAUUUGCACUAUAAUGGUGGUUUUGUGGGGCAAAAUGGUGAGGUUGUGAUUGCUCAGGUUUUGUCAGUGAUUUCCUAGAAGCCGAAGGUCAUUGAGGGAAGGCUCAUUAAUCACCAGACCGAGAGAGAGAAGAAAAAUGAGAUAUACUUCCAUUGAGGAAGUACGCCAUCAAAGCAUAGUACCAUAGAACAAUCACAUAUAUCAGUCGGAGACUUACAUCUUUCAUAAUUGACAAUUUUUAAUAUUUCUAUCUUUGUAUUUUCAUGCUGUUUUUAAUAAAAAAAAUUCUUCAUUAGACCAUUUUAUUACCAAAAUUAAAUAUAGCUUCGUAGGGAAGAGGAUUGACAUUUGAAAGUACAUUUCUGAAUAUAAAAGUGAGGCUAAAGAGAAUUAAGAACUUCAUGUUAUUAUUAUAAAUCAUGAGCAAUGUUGAUAUAUGUGAUGAUGGUAGAUUGAAUUUAUAUAUAUUAUCUCACAAGCCAGGUAUCUUGUCAUACAUCUUUUGAUCUUACACAUUAGCUAAUAUUUUCCAACACAUAAACAACUUUAAGUACAUAUUUGUUA
Lathyrus oleraceus (garden pea) is the source of this 864-nucleotide long non-coding RNA. RefSeq lists it as uncharacterized. The record is from RefSeq and is a predicted model, not a curated record. The transcript has 3 exons. NCBI's taxonomy places the organism in Eukaryota, Viridiplantae, Streptophyta, Magnoliopsida, Fabales, Fabaceae.